Molecule: ribosomal RNA, 253 nt
Filed under: uncultured bacterium
Lineage: Bacteria
Description: partial 16S ribosomal RNA
Rfam family: Bacterial small subunit ribosomal RNA
Source: RNAcentral
UACGAAGGGGGCUAGCGUUGUUCGGAUUUACUGGGCGUAAAGCGCACGUAGGCGGAUCGUUAAGUCGGGGGUGAAAUCCUGGAGCUCAACUCCAGAACUGCCUUCGAUACUGGCGAUCUCGAGUCCGGAAGAGGUGAGUGGAACUCCUAGUGUAGAGGUGGAAUGCGUAGAUAUCGGGAGGAACACCAGUGGCGAAGGCGGUUGCCUGGGGCUUUGCUGACGCUGAUGCGCGAAAGCGUGGGGAGCGAUCCGG